UACGUAGGCAGCGAGCGUUGUUCGGAGUUACUGGGCGUAAAGGGCGCGUAGGCGGCCUGUUGCGUCCGCCGUGAAAUCCCAGGGCUCAACCCUGGGCGUGCAGUGGAUACGGGCAGGCUGGAGGCAGGCAGGGGAGAACGGAAUUCCCGGUGUAGCGGUGAAAUGCGCAGAUAUCGGGAGGAACACCGGUGGCGAAGGCGGUUCUCUGGGCCUGUACUGACGCUGAGGAGCGAAAGCGUGGGGAGCGAACAGG
RNAcentral lists this ribosomal RNA (253 nucleotides) under uncultured bacterium. RNAcentral describes it as "partial 16S ribosomal RNA". It matches the Rfam family "Bacterial small subunit ribosomal RNA", at positions 524 to 776 of the family's 1533-position model. The record is from RNAcentral.